GUCAGGAUGGCCGAGUGGUCUAAGGCGCCAGACUCAAGGUAGCACCUUCCUGUGUUGAGGGACUUCUGGUCUCCGAAUGGAGGCGUGGGUUCAAAUCCCACUUCUGACA
This 109-nucleotide transfer RNA is filed under the name Gasterosteus aculeatus (three-spined stickleback). It matches the Rfam family "tRNA". Rfam says of the family: Transfer RNA (tRNA) molecules are approximately 80 nucleotides in length. Their secondary structure includes four short double-helical elements and three loops (D, anti-codon, and T loops). The record is from Rfam by way of RNAcentral. Lineage: Eukaryota; Metazoa; Chordata; Actinopteri; Perciformes; Gasterosteidae.